RNAcentral lists this long non-coding RNA (1615 nucleotides) under Anthonomus grandis grandis. RNAcentral's name for it is "uncharacterized LOC126744129". The record is from RNAcentral. Lineage: Eukaryota; Metazoa; Arthropoda; Insecta; Coleoptera; Curculionidae.
AUUUUUAACUUUUUUUAAGGUAUGGAAAGAUGAAAUUAUAAAUUCCAUGAAUAAUGCCGGAAAAGAAGAAAAGGAAAUUGCCAUUAAAAAUGGAAAUGUUGACAAACAAGGGAUUCCUUGCAUUUCCGUGCUUAUGGAUGGUGGGUGGUCAAAAAGGAGUUAUGAUCACACAUACAAUGCUUGUUCAGGAGUAGUAAGUUUGUUUUGAAGCAGGCAGUUGUUAUUGGAAAAGCUACUGGAAAAGUCCUUUUUCUGGGAGUGAGGAAUAAAUAUUGUUCCAUUUGUGCGACAAAUGAAAAUAAAGAAGUACCUGAGCACAUAUGCUUUAAAAACUGGAGCGGUUCUUCCAGCGCAAUGGAGUCUGAUAUUAUUGUGGAGGCUUUCAAAUCAAGUAUUGAAAGCCAUGGUUUAAAGUACACCAAAAUAAUUGCCGAUGGAGACUCAAUCGUAUUUUCAAAAAUACGUAAAUAUGUCUCUUUUAGUUUAGAAGUAAGUAUAGUAUAAAAUUAAGUGAUAUAUCUAAUAUGAUUUUACUAUUUUAUUAUAACUAUUUAAGGUACAAAAGGCUGAAUGUACUAAUCAUGUGAUGAAAAAUUUUGGAAAAGCUCUUUAUAAAAUAAAACAGGACACAAAAGGGGUACCUCUUCAGGCCAGAAAACUUUUAAGUCGAGAAAUUUUAGAUGAAUUAUGUCACUCGGUUCAGCAUGCUAUUUACGCCAACAUUAAUGAUGUUAUUACCCUCAAAUGCGAUAUCCAAAAUUCCGUUUUUCAUGUUUUUGGAAACCAUGAAGCCUGCAAAGACUAUCUUUGCACAAAUGUAGGCAACAAAUAACAAAACAACUGUGAUAACUUAAUGGCUUCUGGUUUACAUCACCAUCUACAAGCAGCUCUUAAUAACCUUUCAAGCAAGGCGCAUCUCCUUUUAGAUAAGGAAACAAAUAAUAGAGCUGAGUUAUUUAUGAGCCUUUUAGCAAGGUUUAAUAUGGGAAAAUGACUUAAUUUAAUUCAGAGGGACUCAUUUGAAAUUUGGUCUAUUGUAACAGGGCUAAAAUAUAAUUAUAGUUAUAAAUGGCAUGUCAGUCCCUGGAAAGAAACCUUUAAGCGGAGUCCAGGAAAAUCGCUUCAAAAGUUUAUAUCCCUACAGGAAAAAAAAAGAAAAAGUGACCGAGAUUCAAGAAGACCGAAAAAGCGGCGCCUAGCCUAAUUUUAAAGAAGAAACGGUUCCUGAUUACGGUCAAGACAUUGCCGAAAUCUUGCUUACUCCAGAGCAACUUCAAGUUGAGGUUCAACAAGUUGUUAAACAAUUCAAGGUUACUAAAGAGGAGAUAAUUCAAAUAUCCCAAUCUACUGUCAAGCAGUUUGAUAAUCCUCUUUACCUAACUCACCGAUUGAAUAGGCUAACUGCUUCUAAUUUUGGGGCAGUAGUUAAAAGAAGAAUCGCUACACCUUGCGAUGUUUUAGUGAAAAAAAUAUUAUCGGGUUCGCAAGAUUUUCAAACAGCAAGCACAAGAUAUGGAAAACAAAACGAAUUAGUAGCAAUAAGCGUCUUUUCAGAAAAAAACGGAAAAGUUGUGGUACCUGCAGGCUUAUUUAUUGAUCUAAAUUAUGGUUUUUU